This 1081-nucleotide long non-coding RNA is filed under the name Mytilus galloprovincialis (Mediterranean mussel). The record is from RNAcentral. Lineage: Eukaryota; Metazoa; Mollusca; Bivalvia; Mytilida; Mytilidae.
CAGCCAUCUGAUUACUUAAAAAUUAUAUUUUCACUCUGUAUAUGACUAUAUGUGCUUAUUGAUGAAAUGUGUGCCUGUAGACGUUUAAAACGAUUAACUUCACAUUUGACAAUAAAAAUAAAAUUGUUUCCUGCUUUAUAACCGAGUUUAUUAGACCUCUGUUGGAAGUGAUAAUACCUUCAUGAAGUAAUAAUGAUAGUUACAAAAACUGUUAUCAAUCAUUAUAGUGCUUUACUGAAGAGCACAGAGAAAUGUGACUCUCGACAUCGUGGUCCUUCAAUAAAGUUCACGUGAACAACGUCAUUUGGUUUUCGGAUAUUAAUUUGUAAUUUUUAGGUACUUAUCUAAAACUAAACUUUAAAAAGUCGCAGUGUCAGCCCUUAUGUGUUUCUAUUGUCUUCAUUCCUAUCUGCUUUUAUGAAAUCUGGCAAAUCUGUCUAAUGAUAUGAUAUGUUCAUUGAUUAAUAUGUUCAUUAAUGUACUCCCAAGUGUAAACAAUCAUAUACUAUUGAAUGAAAUUCUUUAUUUGAGUUGUCUCCAGCCAUUUAAACAAACAGGAGAAAACAGUUUAAGUCUAAAUUUUGUGUAUGAUGUUAAUCCUAUAGCGACUUUACAAAAAUAAAAUUCUAUGUUGGCCUGUGUGUAAGUUUAAGUCAUAAAAAAAACUCGCCAUUUUGAUUCACAAUGAAAAUAUGUAUUUUUUAUUUCGAGGAAAAUAAAGAUAUUUUCUAAUAAAAAAAAAAUCAUAUAUCUCUUCAGUAUCAGUAUGUUUAUGACAAACAAAUGGUUAAUUUAACUGACUGUUCGAACCAUGGACCUUAAAAAUCAUAGAAGCUAAAUAAAUAGAAAGAGAUCUUUGUCUCUCAGUCAUAUCACUCUCACUUCCGGACAUUUCCUCAACAUAAAUCUGAACGAAAUACAUAUACUGAUAUCAGAUAAAAGAAAUAAAAUUUAAAAUAAUGCAAAAUAGCAAUCAAUAGACGGAAACAAUUUCAUUAGAAUAAGUAAUUUAUAUUUCAAAAUAUUUAAACUAUGGAAACAUUUUAGAAAUACAAAAAAAACCCUUUUUAAUUGAACAAAA